CUUCAUAUGCGCUUCUUCUCGGCUUCCUUAGUUCUUUACGUGCAGCAUGGCAGAGGAGAGGGAGGCUGUUUGUUUCAGCGUUUUAUUCAAACUUUACCCUCUGACACCAAAGAUGACCCGGCUCCGUUUGUCUGAAAGAGAUCUAACGGGUCAAAACACAGGUCAGCUGGAGGCAGGCUGAGAGGAAGAAACUCUCCUUGAAGAUGAACUGGAUCAGAGCAAAUCUAAGAAUGAGAAGCUGGCUGAACAAAGAUCUAAGGCUGCUGUGUCUCAGAGGGUCAUUAUUGACCUGGAACUCUCUGGUGUUAACAUCUGGUAAGAACGAGCCGGCUGGACAAAGAGCUUCAGUCCUGUGAUUCAGAAGGUCUAGAGAUCCAAGCUCCUGCUGACCAGGACCUCACCUGUUUGAGAUGUGGUGAGUCUUUGCCACAUGUCUGUGUUUAAAUAAUGUUUAGCCUGUGAUGACAAAAUCAAAUAACUUUUCUGACACCUACUAUGAGAGCUGGACUCCAGCUCCUGAUUCUAUCUUUAUUCUGAGGCUCAAACAAUAAAUACAUACACGUGAUUCUUGUUUCUUUCUGUGAAUUAAAAUUGAGCUUUUCCCUUUUUACAGGUUGAUCCAUGACUCAACAAAUGGGAACUCAUGAACCUGUUCAGGGCUUCAAGUAAAGGAACAUUUGUGUGUGUGGAAAAAAUAAAGCUGCU
This is a long non-coding RNA of Centropristis striata (black sea bass), 705 nucleotides long. RefSeq lists it as uncharacterized. The transcript is spliced from 4 exons. Lineage: Eukaryota; Metazoa; Chordata; Actinopteri; Perciformes; Serranidae. The record is from RefSeq and is a predicted model, not a curated record.